This 390-nucleotide ribosomal RNA is filed under the name Prasinoderma singulare. RNAcentral describes it as "partial Bacterial large subunit ribosomal RNA". It matches the Rfam family "Bacterial large subunit ribosomal RNA", at positions 2078 to 2479 of the family's 2925-position model. Lineage: Eukaryota; Viridiplantae; Prasinodermophyta; Prasinodermophyceae; Prasinodermales; Prasinodermaceae. The record is from RNAcentral.
GGACGAAAAGACCCCGUGAACCUUUACUAUAGCUUAGUAUUGACUCUGGACAAAUAAUGUGUAGGAUAGGUGGGAGACUUCGAUCUUGCGUCGCCAGGCGUGGGUGAGUCACUGUUGAAAUACCACCCUUUAUUUGUUUAGAGCCUAACUCCUAACGGAGGACAGUGCUUGGUGGGUAGUUUGACUGGGGUGGUCGCCUCCAAAAGAGUAACGGAGGCUUCUAAAGGUUCCCUCAACACGGUUGGCAAUCGUGUGUAGAGUGCAAUGGCAUAAGGGAGCUUGACUGAGAGACCUACAAGUCGAUCAGGUACGAAAGUAGAGCAUAGUGAUCCGGUGGUUCCGCAUGGAAGGGCCAUCGCUCAAAGGAUAAAAGGUACUCCGGGGAUAACA